CCUACGGGUGGCAGCAGUGGGGAAUAUUGCGCAAUGGGCGAAAGCCUGACGCAGCGACGCCGCGUGAGGGAUGAAGGUCUUCGGAUCGUAAACCUCUGUCAGCAGGGAAGAACGGUCACUGUGCUAAUCAGCAGUGAAUUGACGGUACCUGCAAAGGAAGCACAGGCUAACUCCGUGCCAGCAGCCGCGGUAAUACGGAGGGUGCGAGCGUUAAUCGGAAUUACUGGGCGUAAAGCGCUCGUAGGCGGUAUGUCAAGUCAAGGGUGAAAGCCCCGCGCUCAACGUGGGAACUGCAUUUGAAACUGGCAAACUGGAGUGUGUGAGAGGAUAGUGGAAUUCGAGGUGUAGGAGUGAAAUCCGUAGAUAUCUGGAGGAACAUCAGUGGCGAAGGCGACUAUCUGGCACAUAACUGACGCUGAGGAGCGAAAGCGUGGGUAGCAAACAGGAUUAGAUACCCGGGUAGUC
RNAcentral lists this ribosomal RNA (465 nucleotides) under uncultured bacterium. Its description in RNAcentral is "partial 16S ribosomal RNA". It matches the Rfam family "Bacterial small subunit ribosomal RNA", at positions 338 to 795 of the family's 1533-position model. The record is from RNAcentral.